UAUCUUCCAUUUGCUAGAUUGCAUAUACCUUUCUUACCACUUUGUCUGAACUAACACUUCUAUUGUAAUGAUUAGCAUUAGGAAACUCAGCUGUAAUAUCAUCAAGCCCCCCAGCAGUUGCAGGUAAGCUGCUCUUCUCCAAUGUUGCAAGGCUCGGUUUUGCUGCUGGACAUGAUUCUCCGUCAUUGAAGUUGGAGGAUGCUCUUCCCAAGAUUGGGGCAUCACAAAAUACUUCUGGUGAAACUGGGCCAAAGCAUGCUGGUACAUUGUCAUUUGCUAAUGUGACAUCUAGAGCUAAAACAGUUGAGGACCCCAAUGUCUCCAAGGCAAGUGAAGUGGGGAAGAAGGGGAAGAAGCCAAACCGUGUGCUCCUUUCAACAUCCAGUUCCCGACGAUAUUGAGACUUGAGAGAGGGGGGGAGUGUGCUACUUCUCCAGAAUGAGACUCCUGUAUAUUUUGAACUUUAUUUGUGUUGCAACUGCAUUAGUUGGGUUGUUGUCUACGGAUUACAUUGAGAAAACCGAUUGCAGGAUAGUCGUACGUUUAUUUUAAUUGUUUUUUUUUUCUUUAGGGAAUAAUGUUGCUGCUGUUAUUAGUAUUACUUCUGGUACUACGACUAUAGAAGAGUAAAUGGUGUUUAGUUUGUCAUUUAUGCAAUUUGCCAAUUGCCAGAUAGGUUAGAUGUAUGGAAUAUGGAAUACUUGCAGUAUGGAUUUUGAAUAAUUUAGCAGUAUGUUGGGAUUUAAUU
This is a long non-coding RNA of Ipomoea triloba (trilobed morning glory), 748 nucleotides long. RefSeq lists it as uncharacterized. NCBI's taxonomy places the organism in Eukaryota, Viridiplantae, Streptophyta, Magnoliopsida, Solanales, Convolvulaceae. The transcript is spliced from 2 exons. The record is from RefSeq and is a predicted model, not a curated record.